UUAAGCUAAUAAGAGCGCAGGGUGGAUGCCUUGGCACUAAGAGCCGAAGAAAGACGUGAUAAGCUGCGAAAAGCUGCGGGGAGGAGCAAAUGUCCAUUGAUCCGCAGAUGUCUGAAUGGGGAAACCCGUCUGGAAGAACUCCAGUCACUGCAUGCUGAAUACAUAGGCAUGCAGGGGGAACCCGGUGAACUGAAACAUCUAAGUAGCCGGAGGAAAAGAAAGAAAAAUCGAUUUCCAAAGUAGCGGCGAGCGAAAUGGAAGGAGCCCAAACCGGGAUGCGUGCAUUCCGGGGUUAUGGACCGCAAGAAGUGACCCGUAAGAUAGAAGAAUGGCAUUGGGAAAGCCAGCCACAGAGGGUGAAAGCCCCGUAUUCGAAAUCAGAAGGGAGCGAGCGGAAUCCGAAGUACUACGAGACACGUGGAACCUUGUAGGAAAUCGGGGGGACCACCCCCCAAGGCUAAAUACUCCUUAGUGACCGAUAGCGCAUAGUACUGUGAAGGAACGGUGAAAAGAACCCCGGGAGGGGAGUGAAAGAGAACCUGAAACCCUGUGUUUACAAGCUGUGGAAGAGCUUUACAUGCUCAACCGCGUACUUUUUGUAGAACGGUCCGGCGAGUUACUCUUACUGGCAAGGUUAAGCACCAAAGGUGUGGAGCCGAAGGGAAACCAAGUCUUAACAGGGCGAGUUAGUCAGUGUGAGUAGACCCGAAACCGGGUGACCUACCCAUGUCCAGGAUGAAGUUGCCGUAAAAGGCAAUGGAGGUCCGAACACACAUCCGUUGAAAAGGGUGGUGAUGAGGUGUGGAUAGCGGAGAAAUUCCAAUCGAACCCGGAGAUAGCUGGUUCUCCUCGAAAUAGCUUUAGGGCUAGCCUCAAUUUAGUCUUGCGGAGGUAGAGCACUGAAUAUCCUAGGGGGCGUCAAAGCUUACCGAAGAUUAUCAAACUCCGAAUGCCGUAAAGAUGAUGUAUGGGAGUCAGACUGCACGAGAUAAGUUGGGUAGUCAAAAGGGAAAGAGCCCAGACCUACAGCUAAGGUCCCAAAGUGCGUGUUAAGUGGAAAAGGAUGUGGGAUUUCGAAGACAACUAGGAUGUUGGCUCAGAAGCAGCCAUACAUUCAAAGAGUGCGUAAUAGCUCACUAGUCGAGAGGUCCUGCGCCGAAAAUGUCCGGGGCUAAAACACGACACCGAAGCUUAGGACUCCAUUUAGGAGUGGUAGAGGAGCAUUGUUAGCGCAGCGAAGCUGUACCGAUAAGGAGCAGUGGAGUGCUAAGAAGAGAGAAUGCCGGAAUGAGUAGCGAGAGGAAGGUGAGAAUCCUUCCGGCCGAAUAUCCAAGGUUUCCAGAGUAAAGCUGAUCUGCUCUGGGUAAGUCGGGGCCUAAGGCGAGGUCGAAAGACGUAGUCGAUGGAUAACAGGUGGAGAUUCCUGUACUAUGUGUACCCAGAAAUGUGGGGACGCAUGUGGAGAGCACGAGCCGGGAAAGAGAAGACCGGUACAAGCGGGGUAGGAGUAAGGACAGCAAAUCUUCCUUACAAUCCGAAGACGUAAUGUGGACCGAACCAAAGUAGGGAAGCGUGUGAGCCAUGUGCCAAGAAAAGCCGCUAUUGUGAUACACAUACCCGUACCGUAAACCGACACAGGUGGAUGAGGAGAGAAUCCUAAGGCCGACGGAAGAAGCAUUGUUAAGGAACUCGGCAAAAUGACCCCGUAACUUCGGGAGAAGGGGUGCCCUGUGAAAGCAGGGCCGCAGAGAAUAGGCUCAAGCAACUGUUUAGCAAAAACACAGGUCUAUGCGAAACCGAAAGGUGAGGUAUAUGGGCUGACGCCUGCCCGGUGCUGGAAGGUUAAGAGGAGAAGUCAGGCAACGAAGCUUCGAAUUUAAGCCCCAGUAAACGGCGGCCGUAACUAUAACGGUCCUAAGGUAGCGAAAUUCCUUGUCGGGUAAGUUCCG
Molecule: ribosomal RNA, 1949 nt
Filed under: human gut metagenome
Description: bacterial LSU rRNA
Rfam family: Bacterial large subunit ribosomal RNA
Source: RNAcentral